This 492-nucleotide ribosomal RNA is filed under the name uncultured bacterium. RNAcentral's name for it is "partial 16S ribosomal RNA". It matches the Rfam family "Bacterial small subunit ribosomal RNA", at positions 29 to 507 of the family's 1533-position model. The record is from RNAcentral.
AGUGAACGCUGGCGGUAGGCCUAACACAUGCAAGUCGAACGGCAGCACAGUAAGAGCUUGCUCUUACGGGUGGCGAGUGGCGGACGGGUGAGGAAUACAUCGGAAUCUACUUUUUCGUGGGGGAUAACGUAGGGAAACUUACGCUAAUACCGCAUACGACCUACGGGUUAAAGCAGGGGAUCUUCGGACCUUGCGCGAUUGAAUGAGCUGAUGUCGGAUUAGCUAGUUGGCGGGGUAAAGGCCCACCAAGGCGACGAUCCGUAGCUGGUCUGAGAGGAUGAUCAGCCACACUGGAACUGAGACACGGUCCAGACUCCUACGGGAGGCAGCAGUGGGGAAUAUUGGACAAUGGGCGCAAGCCUGACCCAGCCAUACCGCGUGGGUGAAGAAGGUCUUCGGGUUGUAAAGCCCUUUUGUUGGGAAAGAAAAGCAGCAGGUUAAUCCCCCGCUGUUCUGACGGUACCCAAAGAAUAAGCAACGGCUAACUUCGUG